AGGCCUCGCCCCGUCCUCACCCGGGUCCCGAGCGGCGCCGGCUCCAGAAGCGCAUAGCCGCUGGUUCGGGCACCCUUGACAUGAUGCCCCUCGGCCCGCCUGGGCGCUGCCGGUCCCGGGACAGUCUGCGUGGAGACAAAAUCACAGUUACAGUAGUUCUUGUCCCUUCAGCCCCGCCACCCAUGCGCCUUCCGCACACUCACCCUCAGGCACCUCCUCCAUCCCGCCACCUUUGGCGCAGACGCGGCCACCGGAACUCUCCGUUGCGCAUUUCCGCCCCGUGGCGCCCAAUCUGACCCUCGAGUCGCGCGAGGUCCCAGGCUUGCAGGGUGCCUCGGCAGUGGACAGAGACAAGUAAGGCUGAGCAGGACUUGUUUCGCAGCGCUGCCGGCUGGUUCCAGUGCCUACUGGGGGCAGGGUCCUGGGGUAGGGGCAUGACUAGGGCUGUGGAGGCAGGGGAGAGGGUGAUGACGACACAGGGUGCUGCGCCCGACAGAGCAAGGCUCAAGACCCAGGAGAUGCCAUCGUUCCUGCUGCUGUCACCCACUGCCCACCCCACGCCCACAGGAAAUGUUUCUCUAAACACAAACCAGCAAAUAAAAUAUUCUUCAUCUUACCGUUUAA
Long non-coding RNA from Choloepus didactylus (southern two-toed sloth), 624 nucleotides. RefSeq lists it as uncharacterized. The record is from RefSeq and is a predicted model, not a curated record. The transcript has 2 exons. NCBI's taxonomy places the organism in Eukaryota, Metazoa, Chordata, Mammalia, Pilosa, Megalonychidae.